Molecule: ribosomal RNA, 501 nt
Filed under: uncultured bacterium
Lineage: Bacteria
Description: bacterial SSU rRNA
Rfam family: Bacterial small subunit ribosomal RNA
Source: RNAcentral
GGGUUGUAAAGCCCUGUGGGGUAGAACGAACUGGCAUCGGGCUAAUAUCCCGGUGUCUUGACGGUACUGCCUUAGCAAGCAUCGGCUAACUCUGUGCCAGCAGCCGCGGUAAGACAGAGGAUGCGAACGUUGCUCGGAUUUACUGGGCGUAAAGCGCGUGUAGGCGGUCUCGUUAGUCGGGUGUGAAAGCCCCGGGCUCAACCCGGGAAGUGCACCCGAUACUGCGAGACUGGGGUACUGAAGAGGAGAGCGGAAUUCCCGGUGUAGAGGUGAAAUUCGUAGAUAUCGGGAGGAACACCAGUGGCGAAGGCGGCUCUCUGGGCAGAUACCGACGCUGAGACGCGAAAAGCGUGGGGAGCAAACAGGAUUAGAUACCCUGGUAGUCCACGCUGUAAACGAUGACGACUGGGUGUUGCAGGUAUUGACCCUGCGGUGCCGAAGCCAACGCGUUAAGUCGUCCGCCUGGGAAGUACGGCCGCAAGGCUAAAACUCAAAGGAAUU